Molecule: long non-coding RNA, 513 nt
Organism: Bombus huntii
Lineage: Eukaryota; Metazoa; Arthropoda; Insecta; Hymenoptera; Apidae
Exons: 3
Source: RefSeq, a predicted model, not a curated record
CCGGUUACAAUGUUCUUAACGCGUGGAAAUUAGUCUUGACCAGGAAACAUCUAUAACGGCAUGUAUUUUCUGCCGUGAUUGUAAAUCUGUUUGGAACAUGCGGUUUGUCCGUUAAUCUAGGCGCUGUUGUUCAAUUGAGUCAAUAUUAUUUGUUGGUAGAUUAGUGUGUGCAAGAGCGCUCUAUCCAUUAUUGACCAAUUCGAGCACGUAUUGGUAAAUUUCACACCGGCAAUUACGGUGAAAUCGUUCGUGGUCGCUGGAAAUUGGCAGUAUCGUUUGCGGUCGUGAGCUGAUUGACACUGCGUGAGCGGGGAAUUAUGUGAAGCAGCUUUGCUUUGUCGUUUCAUGCAUUUAAUAGGUUUACGGCGGUGGACAGAGUUUGUAAAAAAUGAAGACAAGGAGUAACAAGUACCUGCAAAAAUCAUCCAUCAGCCGGAUAUGUGCUGUCGGAGGGUUUUUCAUUAGCAUUCCCGUCUUUCUAACUGGUAUGAUAUUGUAUACAUUCAUCCAGUU